RNAcentral lists this ribosomal RNA (446 nucleotides) under uncultured bacterium. RNAcentral's name for it is "partial 16S ribosomal RNA". It matches the Rfam family "Bacterial small subunit ribosomal RNA", at positions 338 to 795 of the family's 1533-position model. The record is from RNAcentral.
CCUACGGGGGGCUGCAGUCGAGAAUCAUUCACAAUGGGGGAAACCCUGAUGGUGCGACGCCGCGUGGGGGAAUGAAGGUCUUCGGAUUGUAAACCCCUGUCAUGUGGGAGCAAAUUAAAAAGAUAGUACCACAAGAGGAAGAGACGGCUAACUCUGUGCCAGCAGCCGCGGUAAUACAGAGGUCUCAAGCGUUGUUCGGAAUCACUGGGCGUAAGGCGUGCGUAGGCUGUUUCGUAAGUCGGGUGUGAAAGGCGCGGGCUCAACCCGCGGACGGCACAUGAUACUGCGAGACUAGAGUAAUGGAGGGGGAACCGGAAUUCUCGGUGUAGCAGUGAAAUGCGUAGAUAUCGAGAGGAACACUCGUGGCGAAGGCGGGUUCCUGGACAUUAACUGACGCUGAGGCACGAAGGCCAGGGGAGCGAAAGGGAUUAGAUACCCUAGUAGUC